UUUCAAAGAAAUUCAUGAUGACCAGAAAGAAGGGUUAAGAUCCUCUCCGGAUCUUAUCAGCCCAGAUCCCUGCGGAUCAACCAGAAAGCAGCAGCCCCGCUGCAAACUACGUCGUCGCUUCGUUCCCCAUCUUCCCAGCUGCUGGAGAUCCAUCUGUUUGACAUGAAUCUGGGCUUGGGCAUCGACUUGGCUCGAUGGAUCUCAAUUCGGCACGGUUUCUGGAGAAGCAGGGGGACAUCGACUUGGCUCAAUGGGCAUCGACUGGACGACGGCCUUCGUCGGAGAAACAGUCGGGCAUCUCCGAGAGACGUCGUCGACCCUGUUCUGCAGUGUGGUGGCAAAGGGCUGUUGCUUUUUGUUGAUUCCUGGCCGCCCAAUCUUCAUUUGGACGGUCGGGAUCGGUUGAUCCUCAGGAUCGGGACGGUUAAGAUCCGGAGAGGACCUUAACCCCAGAAAGAAAUAGUGCAGAGUGGUAGAAACAUUGAAAGAUUAUGCCAUUAAAGCGCACGUGAAUACGGUGGAUCAUUUGGGUUUUUUUUUUGUUUUUUUUUUUUUUUUUGUCAAUAGGAAUUCCAUUAACAAAGCAACAUGAGGAAGAAAAUACAAAGAGACUCCUUAAGGGAGAAGAUAAGCACAGCUCUGUAUUGCCAACGAUGCAGCCGCAUGAGUUGUUUUGUUUGCAGACCUAGGAAUCUAAUUCCAAUGAAGAGAAGAGAACAAGAAAGCAUGUCUCCCUACUUCUUCCACUA
Molecule: non-coding RNA, 749 nt
Organism: Malus domestica (apple)
Lineage: Eukaryota; Viridiplantae; Streptophyta; Magnoliopsida; Rosales; Rosaceae
Source: RefSeq, a predicted model, not a curated record